Molecule: long non-coding RNA, 898 nt
Filed under: Vulpes vulpes (red fox)
Lineage: Eukaryota; Metazoa; Chordata; Mammalia; Carnivora; Canidae
Description: lncRNA (ENSVVUG00000005156.1)
Source: RNAcentral
CCCCGGCACGUGCGAAGUCUCACCCGCGCUCCGCCCCGGCAGCCAGGAGUCCGCGGAGAAGCCGGCUACCCGGGCCCCAGCGGGGAUGCGGGCGCCCCGGGGGUGCAGGGCUACCCCGGGCCCCCCGGCCCUCGAGGACUGGCGGGAGNNNNNNNNNNNNNNNNNNNNNNNNNNNNNNNGCCGGCGGGGCUUCUUCCUGGAGGCCUCCUCUGCCCGCAGGGCCGGGACGCCAGCGACCAGCACAUCGUGACCGUGAUGAUGAAGAUGAUGCAAGAGCAACUGGCAGAGGUCGCUGUGAGUGCCAAGCGGGAGGCCCUGGGUGCCGUCGGGAUGGUGGGUCCGCCAGGACCCCCCGGGCCUCCUGGGUACCCAGGCAAGCAGGGACCCCAUGGGCACCCUGGCCCUCGGGGCGUUCCUGGCAUCGUGGGAGCCGUGGGUCAGAUUGGCAACACCGGCCCCAAGGGAAAACGUGGAGAGAAGGGUGACUGGGGAGAGAUGGGACGCGGGCACCCUGGGAUGCCUGGACCCCCCGGGAUCCCAGGGCUCCCCGGCCGGCCCGGGCAGGCAAUCAAUGGCAAGGACGGGGCCCGCGGUGCCCCAGGGGCCCCGGGGGAAGCAGGCCGACCGGGUCCGCCGGGCCCCGUGGGGCUGCCCGGCUUCUGUGAGCCCACGGCCUGCCUGGCAGCCUCGGCCUACGCCUCUGCGCGCCUCACGGAGCCCGGAUCCAUCAAAGGGCCAUGAGCAGGAGGCCAGGACAGAGCCUGAUGGGCAUCCUGGUGGGGGGGGGGGGACUAGAUUCCCGCGGGGUGGACACGCACCCCAUCCCUCAGACCAGGAAGCCAGCUUUCCAGGCCCUUCCAUCCGGGACCCUGGAGUCCUGAGGAAAAGGAAAUUCUAA